UACGAAGGGGGCUAGCGUUGCUCGGAAUCACUGGGCGUAAAGGGUGCGUAGGCGGGUCUUUAAGUCAGGGGUGAAAUCCUGGAGCUCAACUCCAGAACUGCCUUUGAUACUGGCGAUCUCGAGUCCGGGAGAGGUGAGUGGAACUGCGGGUGUAGAGGUGAAAUGCGUAGAUAUCUGGAGGAACACCGGUGGCGAAGGCGGCAUCCUGGACCAACACUGACGCUGAGUGAGCGAAAGCCAGGGGAGCAAACGGG
This 254-nucleotide ribosomal RNA is filed under the name uncultured bacterium. Its description in RNAcentral is "partial 16S ribosomal RNA". It matches the Rfam family "Bacterial small subunit ribosomal RNA", at positions 524 to 776 of the family's 1533-position model. The record is from RNAcentral.